GGUCACAGGGAAGAGAAGGGCUCUCCUCAAGCGGGUGGAAGGAGGGAGGCCUCCCGAGGGAAUGAGACUCCAGGCCACUCCCCCGCAGCAAGGCAGGAUCACCUGCGUCGCGGAGAGCAGUUAGAGGUCCCUGGAGUGGAAAAGGGCAGUGGGACCUGGUAGCUUGGGUUCCCUGCAACUUGGGGUUCGACCUCCAGGCAAUGAAGUAGGGAUGGUCCUGCAAGUCAAGAUUCCAGUAGCAAGAGUGCAUCAGAUCUCUGUAAGGAAAAUAACUAACAUUGCUCAGUUCCCUGUAGAGUUGCAGGGCGCUUUGACGUUAUCUCCCUUGGUUCUCCAUCAGGUCGUAGUGGACUAAUUUUACAGGCGAAGUUAAGUGACUUACCCAAAACCUCACAGCUAAUAAACGGCAGAGCCGGCACCCAGCUGUACUGGCUUCCAGCGCAUCCCAUUAUCUCCAUAAAUCCCCCUGAUUCAACUAAUAUUAGACGCCCCACAGGUAAGAUGCUUCAGAGUUAGAGGGGAGUUGAAGAUACCUUUGCCUUCAAAGAAGUAAGGAAUGAAACAAAGAUAAAACAGACAAUAAAAGACAAACCAUGAUAGGUGCCACGUGAAAAGUGGCAGAGUACUGCCGGGAAUCAAAGAACCGUGUAUAUCUGUCUUGGGGAUAAGGAAAGAAACGCAGCAUGAAGGAGUAGGCAUUUGGGAUUGACCUUGAAGGAGACAGGGAGAGUUUUACAGCAAGAAGGGAUAGCAUGAGAAUAUAUAUGAAGGCGAAUCAGUGAAAGUUGUGUUGGGGAAAGAGCAAAGACUCCAGGUAUGUUGAGAGGUAGAAAAGACAAAGGAGUAUGGGGCCUAAGAUACCAAAUGGAUGAAUUUAUAUUUAAUUCAGUAUUUUGAGUUUUUAUGGUUCAGAAGUUUGGGGGAAGAAAAGGAAGGUUUUUUUUUUCUUUAUGCUAGUGAUUUAUCUGUGAAGGGAAGCAGAAAUCAGAGGUGGAAAAACUGACAGAUCUACUGUAGGCCAGGUAAAAGGUAAUGAUGAGUCUGACCUAAAGGGACAGCCAGGGGAAUUUAAAGAGCAUAGUUGAGAGAUGAUGUGCAUGCAGAAUCUAUAGAAUUUGCUAACUGAUUGAUUAAUUGUGGGUAGGAAGAGAGAAAUCAAAGAAAGUGGAGGUUUUGAGUUUCUAGAUAAUUGCAAGAGAGAAAAGAGACAAUUACAAAGGAAAGGAGAAGGAGCUACUUCUUGAGAGAAGAUCAGUUUAGAUUUAGACAUUUUAAGAAUUCAAAGGGUUGUCAAGACAGCCAGACGGACAUGGACACUAAUAAGUUAGAAAUAAAGGUUUUGUAAUAUGGGAAAGAGGACUGAGCUAGAAAAUAGACUCAUAGAUAAUCAGCCUAGGAGUGAUAUUGCUGUGAGAUAAAAGAAGAAAACAAAGUCAGAAUCUUGGAAAACACCCUCUUCAGAGUCUCGCUGCUCAAAACGUGGUCAGUGGCCCAGCAGCACUGACAUGAGGACCUUAGUUGGAAACUCAGAAUCUCAGGCUCCACCCCAGACCUGCUGAACCAGCAUCUUCAACUUAACAAGAACCCGAAGAGAUUUGUGCCACAUCAAAAAGUUUGAGAAGCUCUGAUCUAGGUGAGCCAAGCCAGCAAAGAAAGGGGGUGGAGCAGAAAAUGGGAGGAGAAUAGGGUAAUGCAGAAUCAUCAAGACAAGGUAAAUUGGACUUUCACAAAAACGGGGCUGGAAGGAGUGUUGCUCAACAAUAUCCAAAACCACAGAGGUUGAAAAGCACAAGGAAAGAAGCUGGACCCUGGACACGGUGACUCUGAUUCAAUUAUGCAGAUGACCACAAGCCUCUGGGGUUGGCAGAGCCACAAGAAAGAAGGUGCCUGGAUGAAGGAGAGCUACCCACUGACCUGGACACCCAAUUAUUCAUCUGUCUUAGAGCUAUUGGAAUCCUGGAUCAUUGUGGGAAAUGAAAAGUCUGGAUGCCCAUUUUAAUUCUUCUGAAAGCAUGCCUCCUUCUGGCUUCAGGACUCCAUCUCCAGCCUUAUGAUCUAAAAAUAAUCCCCAAACCAAAAAAUUAGAUAUUAUUUCCUCAAAAUUAGGUGUUUUAAUCAAAACAUCUUAACAUAAAUA
Long non-coding RNA from Homo sapiens (human), 2137 nucleotides. The record is from Ensembl. NCBI's taxonomy places the organism in Eukaryota, Metazoa, Chordata, Mammalia, Primates, Hominidae.